UAGCCCUUCACUACGUUCCCCAUCUUCAUAUGACGUCGUGCUGGUCAUCCCUUGAAACGGUGAGCUUCAUCUUUCUUUCUUAAACGCUGCGUUGCGAGUUCCCACUUAAAAUCCCUAACUCUUCACUUCACUUUUUACUUCCUCUUCUUCA
This is a long non-coding RNA of Juglans microcarpa x Juglans regia, 151 nucleotides long. RefSeq lists it as uncharacterized. NCBI's taxonomy places the organism in Eukaryota, Viridiplantae, Streptophyta, Magnoliopsida, Fagales, Juglandaceae. The transcript has 3 exons. The record is from RefSeq and is a predicted model, not a curated record.